This 429-nucleotide ribosomal RNA is filed under the name Triticum aestivum (bread wheat). Its description in RNAcentral is "partial small subunit ribosomal RNA". The record is from RNAcentral. Lineage: Eukaryota; Viridiplantae; Streptophyta; Magnoliopsida; Poales; Poaceae.
AUGGCGGCAGCGUGCUCCCUCUCUCCCCUCCCUCUCGCGCCACCCGCGAUACCCAGGCCAGCGCUCUUCUCGAGGUGCGUCGCUGCUCCGCGCCGUGGUAGGAAUGCCGGGGCAGGCACCGGGCGCUUGCGCCUCGCCAGGAGGCUGCGCCCGCCUGCCGCCGCCAUCGAAGAGGUGGAGCAGACCGAGGCCAUGAUGAGGGUGGCCGCCGACGACGACAGCAUCACCGCCACCGUGGUGUCGGUGCUGCUCACGGUCUCGUUCGUCGGGCUCUCCCUCCUCACAAUCGGGGUGAUCUAUCUGGCGGUGCAGGACUUCUUGCAGAAGAGGGAGAGCGAGAAGUUUGAGAGGGAGGAGGCUGAGAGGCAGAAAGAGGAGGCGAGGCAGAAGAGGGCCAAGGCCAGGGGAAAGAAAAGAAAUCGACGAUGA